Long non-coding RNA from Prionailurus viverrinus (fishing cat), 153 nucleotides. RefSeq lists it as uncharacterized. The transcript is spliced from 3 exons. The record is from RefSeq and is a predicted model, not a curated record. NCBI's taxonomy places the organism in Eukaryota, Metazoa, Chordata, Mammalia, Carnivora, Felidae.
UGGAUAAAAGACCUGGCUCCUUACUUCCUUGCCAGCGUUUGGAUGGCCACCGAUGCUAUGAUGACUUUACAAAAAGCAUUUGGAUGUUUUCCCUUUCUGUGCGAGGUUCACUCUAGCCUGUGCCUCAAUCAUCACCUCUCCUCCUGUGACUCU